Molecule: unclassified non-coding RNA, 391 nt
Filed under: soil metagenome
Description: partial contains 5.8S ribosomal RNA, internal transcribed spacer 2, and large subunit ribosomal RNA
Rfam family: 5.8S ribosomal RNA (bases 1-122)
Source: RNAcentral
GAUGAAGAACGCAGCGAAAUGCGAUACUUGGUGUGAAUUGCAGAAUCCCGUGAACCAUCGAGUCUUUGAACGCAAGUUGCGCCCGAAGCCAUUAGGCCGAGGGCACGCCUGCCUGGGCGUCACACGUCGUUGCCCCCCCAUCUACUCCUUCGGGAUUGCGGGGGGCGGAUGAUGGCCUCCCGUGCGCCACGCCGCGCGGUUGGCAUAAAUGCCAAGUCCUCGGCGACGCACGCCACGACAAUCGGUGGUUGCGAAACCUCGGUUGCCCGUCGUGUGCGGUCGUCGCGCAUCGAGGGCUCGAAAAAAUUGCCGGGUUCCGGCUCGGCUUUCAACGCGACCCCAGGUCAGGCGGGGUUACCCGCUGAAUUUAAGCAUAUCAAUAAGCGGAUGA